UUCGCCCUUGGUUGAUCCCGCCGGACCUGACUGCUAUCGGAUUGAUACUAAGCCAUGCGAGUCAUUGUAGCAAUACAAGGCAUACGGCUCAGUAACGCGUAGUCAACCUAACCUAUGGACGGGAAUAACCUCGGGAAACUGAGAAUAAUGCCCGAUAGAACACUAUACCUGGAAUGGUUUGUGUUCCAAAUGAUUUAUCGCCGUAGGAUGGGACUGCGGCCUAUCAGUUUGUUGGUGAGGUAAUGGCCCACCAAGACUAUUACAGGUACGGGCUCUGAGAGGAGUAGCCCGGAGAUGGGUACUGAGACACGGACCCAGGCCCUAUGGGGCGCAGCAGGCGAGAAAACUUUGCAGUGUGCGAAAGCACGACAAGGUUAAUCCGAGUGAUUUGUGCUAAACGAAUCUUUUGUUAGUUCUAGAAAUACUAACGAAUAAGGGGUGGGCAAGUUCUGGUGUCAGCCGCCGCGGUAAAACCAGCACCUCAAGUGGUCAGGAUGAUUAUUGGGCCUAAAGCAUCCGUAGCCGGCUCUGUAAGUUUUCGGUUAAAUCUGUACGCUUAACGUACAGGCUGCCGGGAGUACUGCAGAGCUAGGGAGUGGGAGAGGUAGACGGUACUCGGCAGGAAGGGGUAAAAUCCUUUGAUCUAUUGAUGACCACCUGUGGCGAAGGCGGUCUACCAGAACACGUCCGACGGUGAGGGAUGAAAGCUGGGGGAGCAAACCGGAUUAGAUACCCGGGUAGUCCCAG
This 747-nucleotide ribosomal RNA is filed under the name uncultured archaeon. Its description in RNAcentral is "bacterial SSU rRNA". It matches the Rfam family "Archaeal small subunit ribosomal RNA", at positions 1 to 750 of the family's 1478-position model. The record is from RNAcentral.